This 324-nucleotide long non-coding RNA is filed under the name Bos taurus (domestic cattle). Its description in RNAcentral is "long non-coding RNA NONBTAT001297". The record is from RNAcentral. Lineage: Eukaryota; Metazoa; Chordata; Mammalia; Artiodactyla; Bovidae.
CAUAUAGUCUGCUUUAUUAUUUGACAGUAGGGAGAAGGCAAUGGACAGGAUUAAAUAACAGGUUAAGACUCAGGGGGAAACAUUUAAAGAUUACCUAUCACUCUUCUCUCUCUGUCUCUCUCGUUCUGAUUUGUUCAACAAUUUCUUUUCUUAAAAUAUAUACUUUAAUUUGAAAACCAUUCAGGUGAAAUUAGUAAUAAGUCACAGUAAUAGAUAUAAGUAAUAGAAAUUGUGGGGAAUAAUUUUCUUAACCAAAGGCAAAUCUUUCUCAGGUUAAAAUAGAUAUGUAGAAAUUAAACUUCACCCUUAAGAUGCUAUCUUUUA